AGUGAACGCUGGCGGCGUGCCUAAUACAUGCAAGUCGAACGAGUGGCGCCCGGGUGGGUAAUGUAUAGCUAAUCUGCCCUCCACUAGAGGACCACAUUUGGAAACGGCUGCUAAUACUCUAUCGUGUAGGAUGGGGGUAUAUUGUAUCAGCUAGUUGGUGAGGUAUUGGCUCACCAAGGCUAUGAAGCAUAACUGGUCUGCGAGGAUGAUCAGCCACACUGUAACGGAGACACGGUCCAGAAUCCUACGGGAGGCAGCAGUAGGGAAUAAUGCUCAAUGGGGGAAACUCUGAAGCAGCAACGCCGCGUGGAGGAUGACACGUGUCGGAGCGGAAACUCCUUUUGUUAGGGAAGCGGUACCUAACGAAUAAGCACCGGCUAACUCCGUGCCAGCCGCCGCGGUAAUUC
RNAcentral lists this ribosomal RNA (407 nucleotides) under uncultured bacterium. Its description in RNAcentral is "partial 16S ribosomal RNA". It matches the Rfam family "Bacterial small subunit ribosomal RNA", at positions 29 to 526 of the family's 1533-position model. The record is from RNAcentral.